CCUACGGGAGGCAGCAGUGGGGAAUUUUGGACAAUGGGCGCAAGCCUGAUCCAGCCAUGCCGCGUGCGGGAAGAAGGCCUUCGGGUUGUAAACCGCUUUUGUCAGGGUAAGAAAAUGUUCUGGAUAAUACCUGGGACUCAUGACGGUACCUGAAGAAUAAGCACCGGCUAACUACGUGCCAGCAGCCGCGGUAAUACGUAGGGUGCAAGCGUUAAUCGGAAUUACUGGGCGUAAAGCGUGCGCAGGCGGUUAUGCAAGACAGAGGUGAAAUCCCCGGGCUCAACCUGGGAACUGCCUUUGUGACUGCAUAGCUAGAGUACGGUAGAGGGGGAUGGAAUUCCGCGUGUAGCAGUGAAAUGCGUAGAUAUGCGGAGGAACACCGAUGGCGAAGGCAAUCCCCUGGACCUGUACUGACGCUCAUGCACGAAAGCGUGGGGAGCAAACAGGAUUAGAUACCCUGGUAGUCCACGCCCUAAACGAUGUCAACUGGUUGUUGGGAGGGUUUCUUNUCAGUAACGUAGCUAACGCGUGAAGUUGACCGCCUGGGGNGGCGGCGCGAGUUAGAGUANANAGAGUUGNGNGNGAGAGNGCGAGACGACGACGAGGGAGGAGG
RNAcentral lists this ribosomal RNA (613 nucleotides) under uncultured bacterium. RNAcentral's name for it is "bacterial SSU rRNA". The stretch from base 1 to 543 matches the Rfam family "Bacterial small subunit ribosomal RNA", at positions 338 to 873 of the family's 1533-position model. The record is from RNAcentral.